RNAcentral lists this unclassified non-coding RNA (261 nucleotides) under plant metagenome. RNAcentral describes it as "partial contains small subunit ribosomal RNA, internal transcribed spacer 1, and 5.8S ribosomal RNA". The record is from RNAcentral.
UUUCCGUAGGUGAACCUGCGGAAGGAUCAUUAUUGUAUAACCGAGGUGCGAGGCCUGUCGCUGACCCGCAAGGUCGUGCACGCCCGAGUGCCCUCACACAUCCAUCUCACCCCUAUGUGCACCACCGCGUGGGUCCCCCUUUGGCUUGUUCGGAGGGGGGCUUACGGUUUCACACAAACUGUGUAUGCAGUGUAGAAUGUAUUUUGUGUUUUUGCGAUCACGCAAUCAGUACAACUUUCAACAACGGAUCUCUUGGCUCUC